Molecule: long non-coding RNA, 5115 nt
Filed under: Lathyrus oleraceus (garden pea)
Lineage: Eukaryota; Viridiplantae; Streptophyta; Magnoliopsida; Fabales; Fabaceae
Description: Pisum sativum (pea) long non-coding RNA (PSAT_LNC010078)
Source: RNAcentral
GAUAUGACCCCUUGGAAAUCCCCAUGGCCAGAUGGAUUUCCAACUGGUUUUAUCAGAAUUCCUUGAGCAUUAUAGAAAACGAUGUGUGCACUUUCAUUAAGAAGUUGUGGGACAAGCCUAGUAGCAUUUUUGAGGUAAACUAUGUUUAAAUUUGUCUAAUUCCUAAACUCCAAUCACCUCAGAUAGUCAAUCACGUUAGACCUAUAACACUUUAUAACACCAUUUAUAAGGUCCUUAGUAAAAUUAUAGUGAAUGGGCUAAAAAUAGGCAUAAAUGAAAUAGUUUCUCAUUAUCAAGCAAGAUUCAUUCCCAAUAGGAGCAUCCAUGAAAAUAUAGUGGUGGCCCAUGAAAUGAUCAAUAACAUGAAUAUGCUCAAAGGAAAAAGGGAUACUUUGCAAUCAAUAUUGACUUAGCAAAAGGUUAUGAUAUGAUGAGUUGGCCUUUUGUGAACAAUGUCUUAAUUGAGUUAGGAAUUCAAGAUAAGUUGAGAUAUAUCAUCAUGGAUUCUAUUUCGUUUGUGAAAAUGUGUGUUCUUUAGAAUGGUAAGAAAGAUGAUUACUUCGAAACCAAAAAUACACUUCGACAAAGACAUCCCAUUUCUCCUUAUCUUUUUGUUCUAUGUAUGGACAAGCUAUCGCAUUUGAUAAUUGAGCAAGUAGAUGAGGGAAAAUGAGAAGGAAUGAAAGCUGAAAAGUUAGGCUCCAUUAUUUCUCACUUUAUGUUUGCUGACGAUCUCCUUUUGUUUGGAAGAGUUGGAGAGAUACAAAUAAGUGCAUAAUGGAAGUAUUAGAUAAAUUUUGUAGUGAAUAUGGGCAGAGAAUUAGCUAUGACAAAUCUAGUAUUUUGUUCUCCAAAAAUAUUUGUGUUCAAACAAAGAGAAAGAUCCUUCAAUUGGCUGUAAUUAAAGAGGCAAAAGAGCUAUGAACUUAUCUAGGAGUGACUCCCACUCGAAAGUGUCCUAAGGUGAAAGACUAUCGAUCUCUAGUGGAACAGGUAAAAACUAACUUGUCUAGCGGGAAUAGUAAACAACUGUCUUUUGGAGGGAGAAUAACCCUAAUUAAUUUAGUACCAUAGGCAAUUCCAACUUAUAAUAUGAUGGGUAAUAUGAUACCAAAAAUAUUCCUAAAGACUAUUCAACAAGUCCAAAUGCAAUUCAUAUGGGGUAAGUCUUUAGGGAAAAGCAUUUGCAUAUUCUGAGAUGGGAAAAAGUAGCUAAGCCUAAAAAGAUUGGUAGGUUGGGGACUGAGAAAAUUGUCUGAGAUGAAUAAAACUUGCAUUGCCAAGAUGGGGUGGAUGAUUAAAAUUAGAGAAAAAGGCUUUCUGGUGUGAUGUGAUUAGAGGUAAGUAUGACAAAAGAUUCAGCUUGACAAAUGGAACUGAAGCUAAAUCUUAUGAUUCAAGUCCUGGGAAGUGUAUAGUAAAUGAGUGGGCACUAUUAGAUAACAUGACAUUUUGGACAGUUGGAAAUGGUACUAGAACCAGAGCUUGGCAUGACUGUUGGAUAUCUCUUGGAAUUAUUCUCAAAGACUUCUUGCAAGUUAAUGUUGAUGAUCAAAGGAAUGUUACUAUUGCAUACAUUAUAACAUCUAAUGGUGACUGGAAUUGGAACUUGCUUAGGAAUAUUUUUACUCAGGAUGUCUUGGAUAGAUUUAUAUCAAUUCAACCUUCUAGUACUGCAGAUGAUGAUGAUUCUUGUAACUGGUCUGACAUAAAUAAUGAAGCAUUCACUAUUUCAAAUGAUUUUAAAAUGAUCAACAAUCACAAUGUGCGCACAUAUAUGAGACAAUUGAGUAAUAUAUGGAAUAUCAAAGCCCUUGAAAGAAUCAGGUCCUUCACGCGGUUUGUCUUUCCUAAUGGCAUUAAGACUAGGCAAUUCCCACAUCAUCACAAGAUUGGGGGACCCUUUUUGUGUUGACUAUGUAGGUAUAAAGAAGUCCAUUAUUCAUUCUCUGAGAGAUUGUAUUAUGUUAAAGCAUAUAUGGAUGUAGCUAGUUCGAAACACAUAUAGGGAAACUUUCUCCAAUUCUAAUUUGUAGGAAUGGCUGAACAUUAAUAUGACUCAAACUCGAGUGCUAAGGAAGAUCACCAAGAUUGGCAAUCAAUCUGGGCUAUUAGGUGCCACACAAAUUGGUAUUGGCGUAAUCAAAUGCAACAUGUUACGUAUUAUUUGAUGCCAUAUAAUCUGGUCACUGAUAUCUUGAUGAAGGUUCAACAUUACCGCAAGAACGCGACUCUAUCAAAUAAGUUCUCGACUUAUCCAAGAGCAAUGUGACAAUUAAAGUGGGUUAAGUCUGAUGAAGAUUGGUUUGCUCUUAAUACUGAUGACGUUAUUCAGAAUGCAAUUAAAGUUGGGUGUGAUGGAAUUCUUAGGAAUAAUGAUGAUGCUUGGAUGAAAGGCUUUGCAAAGUCUUUAGGAAGAUGCUCUUCCAUGGUUGUAGAAACUUAAGGAAUUUUGGAAGGUAUUAAAAUGGUGAAAGACAUGGAUUUCAAUGGAGUAAUGAUCUAAAUAGACCGUAAAUAGGUUAACAAUGCUCCAAUUAAGGAAAAUGACACUCUAAUUGAAGAUUUUAACUUACUUAAAUAAAUCAAAAUUGCUUUACGGUAGAAUAUAGAACCUCGAGUCAUUCAUAUGUAUCAAAAAAACAAACAAAUGGCAAAUGAUAUGACAAAUCUGAUAGCGUCAAAUUUGAGUGAUAUUAUCUUCAUUGAGGAAUGAUAUUUAAUAAUUUAUUUUCUUUUUUUUUUACUCCGACCCUCCCAAAACAAAAAAUAAAAUAAAAUGAAAAGGGCAUGAUUGUAAUUACAGAAACUAAAACCGGUUGCAAUAGAACGAUAUUCGGCGAAGAUGCGGCAGAUACCAUGAAACCCCACCAUGCCGCUAAAACAAAACCAAAAAAAUACAAUAAAAUGUGUUUUUCAUAUAAUUGGUAAAGUAGAAUUAGAAGAAGCUGAUAGAUAGCAGCGGCGAACCCCAAACCCACUCUCUUCCAGAAAUUUCAUGUCCAUCUUGCCCUCACAAACCCAACCGGCAUCUUCAUCAUCUUCGUCUUUACCAAUCCCUAGCCCUAAUUCACAACAUGGAAUUUCAGAUACUUCCUCUUCUCUUUCCCCUCAACUCAACCAUGCUCUCGGAUCUCUUCAGAUCUCCGACUAUCCAGGUUCCAUUAAAGAUUUUCCCCUAAUUUGGAUUAUGUUUUAGGGGCAGAGAAUAGAUAAUAUACGAGCUGAUACAUUAAUUUGAUUUAUAUUUUUUGUGGCUACGUUAUGGUUCACCCAAUUUGAUAUUCAAAAUGCUUUGGGGGAGUAGGGUUCAUCGUUUUUUUGCAUGUAAAAUUUGGGUACUGAAUCAAUGGAGAGGUUUUUUUUAGUAUAAGUUUGUGAUUUUUUUGGGUGUGUUUGACGAUUAGGUAGUUGAAAGGGCAGGAUUUAUCUAUUUCUUAUUAUUAUUGAAAUUUCAAAGGUGAAUGAUCAUUUGAGUUAAGGAGUGGUUUUGAGUUAUUCUUGAAUGAUUUUCUUUAUUGGUUAGAUGUUGUUAGUUCCAAUGAAUCAUUUUGUGCUGUAUUUGGCAGGUCCAUCAACUCCAGCUGCAGAAGAUUCCGGUGGACCCUCCGAAAAGGUGUUUUAAGUUUUUUACUUUACAUCUGGAUGGGCUGGAUUGUUUAUUUAUCUAUUGAACUCUUGUAUUUUGUUGCUGCAUGUGUCUAACUUGAAAUAAGAUUUUGUCUGAAAUGUCGGUUUUUAAGAAACUUAUGUCUUAUGUUGAUUAAUUAACUUGUUUUCUAACUUGUUAGAAGUCUUGAACUGAUAUUGAUUAUAUGUUGUGUGUAUCUGCGUGUUCCUUUUGUUUUCUUUGCUUUUAGGUGACUGAAUUAGAGUCUUCAAGUGGUAUGAAGGCACCUCAGCGAAACUCUAGAUCACAUUCUAGGAGUCAAUCAGGAAGACGGACGGCUGGACUCUCCCAUUCUGAGGGUAUGACAACGGGAACAGUUUCUUCUCAUAGAAAUCAACAGGCUACUGGAUCAGCAUAUUCUCAAGGAAGCACCCCUUUCCCAGGAAGGAAAUCUCAGAUGGCGAAUGGCAAUCACUUGCUCAACUUUCAGUAUGAUCCAAUAUCCCGUUCUCAACAAAGGGGUCCUCCCCCUCCCCCUCCUGCAAGAAGGCAGCGGAAGAGAAGACCAUACAACAAAGAUUUGUUUUUACAGGCAAAUUUCAAAUUCAUGGUGCUAGAUUCAGGAAAUUAUUCCCCCGAGUCAAUGGAUCCAGAUAAAAUGUUGCAGUGGGAAGAUAUUAUAUGUGUGACAUAUUCGACCCCUUCUCCAAUUCAGUGUCCAAUUUGUUUGGAGCAUCCCCUGUGUCCCCAAAUAACCUCAUGUGGACACAUUUUUUGUUUCCCAUGUAUUCUUCAAUACUUGUUGUUGGGUGAAGAAGAUCACAAAGGUGAUUGCUAAUUCAGUGUCCAAUUUGUUUGGAGCAUCCCCUGUGUCCCCAAAUAACCUCAUGUGGACACAUUUUUUGUUUCCCAUGUAUUCUUCAAUACUUGUUGUUGGGUGAAGAAGAUCACAAAGGUGAUUGCUGGAAAAGGUGUCCGUUGUGCUUUGUGAUGAUAUCUGUCAAGGACUUAUAUUCAGUUCACAUCACAAAUGUCAAACAAUAUCAAGUAGGAGAUAAUAUUGAGUUCACUUUCUUAACGAGGAAGAAGGAUUCAUUUACUCUCUCACAUAAAAAUAAACAAGAGACUGAUAACUCAUCAUGUGGCCAAGGAGAUGUAUGUGACCCAUUUUCUAAGUUCAGACUCACAUUAGAUGUAGAUCUCUCAGUGAGACAUGCAAUAUCAGAUCUAGAUGGUUGGCUGGCCAGAGCUGAUUCAGGUCUUGUCGAUGACCUGGAGAAGCUUCCAUAUGUUAGUGCUGCAAUGCAACAACUAAAACAGAGAAAGAAGUAUUGGAAUGAACAAUAUCAGAUCUAGAUGGUUGGCUGGCCAGAGCUGAUUCAGGUCUUGUCGAUGACCUGGAGAAGCUUCCAUAUGUUAGUGCUGCAAUGCAACAACUAAAACAGAGAAAGAAGUAUUGGAAUGAGCACAGGGCUUCUAACAGUGAAAAAUCUUCUAGCCUCAUU